GUCACUUUGCCGGAGUGGUUAACGGGAUCGCCUGCUAUCCGUAGCAUCUUAGCGGUUGUGCUUUGCACGCGAGUGUUCGAAUCGCUCAGGUGACG
This 95-nucleotide transfer RNA is filed under the name Peniophora sp. CONT. RNAcentral describes it as "tRNA-Ser". It matches the Rfam family "tRNA". From Rfam's summary of the family: Transfer RNA (tRNA) molecules are approximately 80 nucleotides in length. Their secondary structure includes four short double-helical elements and three loops (D, anti-codon, and T loops). The record is from RNAcentral. Lineage: Eukaryota; Fungi; Basidiomycota; Agaricomycetes; Russulales; Peniophoraceae.